RNAcentral lists this ribosomal RNA (497 nucleotides) under uncultured bacterium. RNAcentral's name for it is "partial 16S ribosomal RNA". It matches the Rfam family "Bacterial small subunit ribosomal RNA", at positions 28 to 507 of the family's 1533-position model. The record is from RNAcentral.
GAUGAACGCUGGCGGCGUGCCUAAUACAUGCAAGUCGAGCGAACAGAUAAGGAGCUUGCUCCUUUGACGUUAGCGGCGGACGGGUGAGUAACACGUGGGUAACCUACCUAUAAGACUGGGAUAACUUCGGGAAACCGGAGCUAAUACCGGAUAAUAUUUCGAACCGCAUGGUUCGAUAGUGAAAGAUGGUUUUGCUAUCACUUAUAGAUGGACCCGCGCCGUAUUAGCUAGUUGGUAAGGUAACGGCUUACCAAGGCGACGAUACGUAGCCGACCUGAGAGGGUGAUCGGACACACUGGAACUGAGACACGGUCCAGACUCCUACGGGAGGCAGCAGUAGGGAAUCUUCCGCAAUGGGCGAAAGCCUGACGGAGCAACGCCGCGUGAGUGAUGAAGGUCUUCGGAUCGUAAAACUCUGUUAUUAGGGAAGAACAUACGUGUAAGUAACUGUGCACGUCUUGACGGUACCUAAUCAGAAAGCCACGGCUAACUACGUG